AUGGCCAAGCUCAUCUGUAACUUCACGGAGACGGCACCAUCGAUGGUGGCCGCUGCCGUGACUUACUCGAAGCCUCGAUUGGCCACAUUUUGGCACUACGCCAAGGUUGAGCUGGUUCCCCCAACCCCUGGUGAAAUCCCUACAGCUAUUCAGAGUGUGAAAAAAAAAACCAUUCAAAGUGCUAAAACUGGUAGCUUCAAACACCUUACAGUGAAGGAAGCUGUGCUGAAUGGUUUGGUGGCCACUGAGGUGUGGAUGUGGUUUUAUAUCGGAGAGAUCAUAGGCAAACGUGGCAUUGUUGGCUAUGAUGUUUGAAGACCAAUCUUUAACUUCUGAUUUGAGUUCUUAUUUGAAUGUUCUUGGACCAUGUGUAACGGGACUGCUAUCUGAAUAA
Molecule: long non-coding RNA, 394 nt
Filed under: Mus musculus (house mouse)
Lineage: Eukaryota; Metazoa; Chordata; Mammalia; Rodentia; Muridae
Description: long non-coding RNA chrX:38396934-38397328
Source: RNAcentral